Molecule: ribosomal RNA, 253 nt
Filed under: uncultured bacterium
Lineage: Bacteria
Description: partial 16S ribosomal RNA
Rfam family: Bacterial small subunit ribosomal RNA
Source: RNAcentral
UACGUAGGGGUCGAGCGUUGUCCGGAGUUACUGGGCGUAAAGCGUGCGCAGGCGGCUCAUUGCGCCCGGCGUGAAAUCCCCCGGCUUAACCUGGGAACUGCGUCUGAUACUGGACGGCUUGAGUAUGGGAGAGGAACGUAGAAUUCCAGGUGUAGCGGUGAAAUGCGUAGAUAUCUGGAGGAACACCGGUGGCGAAGGCGGCGUCCUGGACCAACACUGACACUGAUGAGCGAAAGCCAGGGGAGCAAACGGG